UGGCUCUGUGAUUUUGUAACUCUUUUGGUGAUGUAUGUUUACGCAUUUUCUGUUCGGAUUUUUCUUAGAUGUAGAAAUAAUCAUGACUUUGUUUGAUUUAGGGAUUCUGGAUCCAGUGAUUUGAUAGCUGUGUUAUGCUAUAAUGGAGGUUUUGUUGGGAAUAGAUUGUCAGAUGCAAUUGUAGUGAAGGCAUGACAGAGCUGCCUGCAACUGGUGCAAAGGCUUGGACUGCUGCUAUACCAUUGAGUCGGAGAUUGGGGAGUGUGGCCACAAUAUUCAGCUCAGGAUACCGUGGUAGUAAUCAAAAAUUGGCACUGAAAAUUGCAAGGGAACGUGAAGCUGUGAAGGUAACUGAUGAUAUCAUCAAUUCUGAGGAUAAGCUCCUCGCUCUGUUUUUGAGGUGGUUAUCAAUUAAUGAACACCAUUUCGAUGUGGAUGAUAGAAAAGCUUUCAAAGAGAGAUUUGAAAUCUUCAAGAAAACCGCUCGGCGUGUCCAUAAACAUAACCAAACCAAGUCUUCCUGCAUUCUUGGAUUAACCUAUUUUUCAGAUUUGACUCCAGAUGAGUGUAUAAACUUGUCGUAUAAGGUCUAUCCAAAGAAAGAGGUCAAGAAAGAGGUCUAUAUCUAAAUGUUAAAGAAAACUAAGUCUUAGGAAUCUAGUUCUAUUAUAGAUUUAUGAUGCUGUUUUACGGAUGCUAGUGGUCUAGUAGCAAGCUGUAUUUUGUCUGUAUUUUUGUUUUGAAGUCCAGUUUGGCAUAGGACAUUUCCUCAAUUUCCAUAUAUCCGUCAUUCAGAAGGCAACCAGUGCAGCAGGUCAAUACACGGAUGGAUUGCAGAAAACCUGAAUCAAGCGCAUUUAGAUUACUUUCUAUCUGGACUUGGUGUAAUAGAACUGGUUGCAUUCUUGUGUGUUCUACAGAAGAACUUCCAAUGUAAAAUCGGUGUCCAAGAAAAGGUAACUUUCUGCUAAGAAAAAUGAUAUCUUGUGUCCAAGAAAAGGUAACUUUCUGCUAAGAAAAAUGAUAUCUUGUGUCCGCAAAAUCUACAGAAGCGACGUUAAACAUCA
RNA transcript from Papaver somniferum (opium poppy), 1067 nucleotides. RefSeq lists it as uncharacterized. NCBI's taxonomy places the organism in Eukaryota, Viridiplantae, Streptophyta, Magnoliopsida, Ranunculales, Papaveraceae. The record is from RefSeq and is a predicted model, not a curated record. The transcript has 4 exons.